Long non-coding RNA from Alligator sinensis (Chinese alligator), 310 nucleotides. RefSeq lists it as uncharacterized. The record is from RefSeq and is a predicted model, not a curated record. Lineage: Eukaryota; Metazoa; Chordata; Crocodylia; Alligatoridae. The transcript has 4 exons.
CUGCUCAGCACUACAAAGCAGUCAGAGGAGGACAGCCUUAGCUGGACCUGUGUUCUGUUAUGUAGAUGCGAGGGAAGGAGAUUAUACAACACCAUAUGACUUCAGAGAAGUGUCAACAUCACUUCUGAGAUUUCAGUGACGCAUGCACUUCAACUAUGGAAUGGUUAGGUGUUGAGCUUGUAAAAUGCUGGACUAUGGCCUUUUAAGUGGACCCUGCCUGCAUUUGCUCCUCAGAAUCCCAUGGACCUACCUUCCUUUUCUUUCUUCAAACGUUAUAUUCCCCCCCUUCCCUUCAAGAUCUUCCUUCAGG